ACUGUGAAACUGCGAAUGGCUCAUUAAAUCAGUUAUGGUUUAUUUGAUGGUACCUACUACUUGGAUAACCGUAGUAAUUCUAGAGCUAAUACAUGCAGGAAGACCCGACUUCGGGAGGGUUGUAUUUAUUAGAUAAGAAACCAAUCCAGCUUGCUGGUUGCGUGCCGAGUCACAAUAACUGUUCGAAUCGCAUGGCUUCACGCCGGCGAUGGUUCAUUCAAAUUUCUGCCCUAUCAGCUUUCGAUGGUAGGAUCGAGGCCUACCAUGGCGUUUACGGGUAACGGAGAAUUAGGGUUCGAUUCCGGAGAGGGAGCCUGAGAGAUGGCUACCACAUCCAAGGAAGGCAGCAGGCGCGUAAAUUGCCCGAAUCCUGACACAGGGAGGUAGUGACAAGAAAUAACAAUACAGGGCUUCUAAAGUCUUGUAAUUGGAAUGAGUACAAUUUACAUCUCUUCACGAGGAUCAAUUGGAGGGCAAGUCUGGUGCCAGCAGCCGCGGUAAUUCCAGCUCCAAUAGCGUAUAUUAAAGUUGUUGCAGUUAGAACGCUCGUAGUCGGAUUUCGGGGCGGGCCGACCGGUCUGCCGAUGGGUACGCACUGGUCGGCGCGUCCUUCCUUCCGGAGACCGUGCCUACUCUUAACUGAGCGGGGGCGGGAGACGGAUCGUUUACUUUGAAAAAAUCAGAGUGUUUCAAGCAGGCAGCUCGCUCUUGCAUGGAUUAGCAUGGGAUAAUGAAAUAGGACUUUGGUGCUAUUUUGUUGGUUUCNAACACCGAANUAAUGANNAACA
Molecule: ribosomal RNA, 788 nt
Filed under: uncultured eukaryote
Lineage: Eukaryota
Description: SSU rRNA
Rfam family: Eukaryotic small subunit ribosomal RNA
Source: RNAcentral